AAUAGAUACCCUGGUAGUCCACGCCCUAAACGAUGUCGACUAGGUGUUGGGGAAGGAGACUUCCUUAGUACCGCAGCUAACGCGUGAAGUCGACCGCCUGGGGAGUACGGUCGCAAGAUUAAAACUCAAAGGAAUUGACGGGGACCCGCACAAGCGGUGGAUGAUGUGGAUUAAUUCGAUGCAACGCGAAAAACCUUACCUACCCUUGACAUGGUCGGAAGCCCGAUGAGAGUUGGGUGUGCCCGAAAGGGAGCCGACACACAGGUGCUGCAUGGCUGUCGUCAGCUCGUGUCGUGAGAUGUUGGGUUAAGUCCCGCAACGAGCGCAACCCUUGCCAUUAGUUGCCACAUUCAGUUGGGCACUCUAAUGGGACUGCCGGUGACAAACCGGAGGAAGGUGGGGAUGACGUCAAGUCCUCAUGGCCCUUAUGGGUAGGGCCUCACACGUCAUACAAUGGCGCAUACAGAGGGUUGCCAACCCGCGAGGGGGAGCCAAUCCCAGAAAGUGCGUCGUAGUCCGGAUCGGAGU
This 528-nucleotide ribosomal RNA is filed under the name uncultured bacterium. RNAcentral describes it as "bacterial SSU rRNA". It matches the Rfam family "Bacterial small subunit ribosomal RNA", at positions 777 to 1304 of the family's 1533-position model. The record is from RNAcentral.